GAUGAACGCUGACAGCAUGCUUAACACAUGCAAGUCCACUUGAACUUCGGUUUGGGUGGCGGACGGGUGAGUAACGCGUAAAGAACUUGCCUCACAGAUAGGGACAACAUUUGGAAACGAAUGCUAAUACCUGAUAUUAUGAUUAUAUGGCAUCGUAUAAUUAUGAAAGCUAUAUGCGCUGUGAGAGAGCUUUGCGUCCCAUUAGCUAGUUGGAGAGGUAACGGCUCACCAAGGCGAUGAUGGGUAGCCGGCCUGAGAGGGUGAUCGGCCACAAGGGGACUGAGACACGGCCCUUACUCCUACGGGAGGCAGCAGUGGGGAAUAUUGGACAAUGGACCAAGAGUCUGAUCCGGCAAUUCUGUGUGCACGAUGAAGUUUUUCGGAAUGUAAAGUGCUUUCAGUUGGGAAGAAAAAAAUGACGGUACCAACAGAAGAAGUGACGGCUAAAUACGUG
Molecule: ribosomal RNA, 454 nt
Filed under: uncultured bacterium
Lineage: Bacteria
Description: partial 16S ribosomal RNA
Rfam family: Bacterial small subunit ribosomal RNA
Source: RNAcentral